CGUGUAGGUGGUCGGGUAAGUCAGAUGUGAAAGCCUUCUGCUUAACAGAAGAAGUGCAUUUGAAACUACUCGGCUGGAGUACGGGAGAGGAGAGUGGAAUUCCCGGUGUAGAGGUGAAAUUCGUAGAUAUCGGGAGGAACACCAGUGGCGAAGGCGGCUCUCUGGUCCGAUACUGACACUGAGACGCGAAAGCGUGGGGAGCAAACAGGAUUAGAUACCCUGGUAGUCCACGCCGUAAACGAUGGGCACUAGGUGUAGGAGGUAUUGACCCCUUCUGUGCCGAAGCUAACGCAUUAAGUGCCCCGCCUGGGGAGUCGGCCGCAAGGCUAAA
This 331-nucleotide ribosomal RNA is filed under the name uncultured bacterium. Its description in RNAcentral is "bacterial SSU rRNA". It matches the Rfam family "Bacterial small subunit ribosomal RNA", at positions 568 to 898 of the family's 1533-position model. The record is from RNAcentral.